UCCGACCACCAGGUGCUGCGGGGAAAAGUUUGCGGGGCUCGGUUGUCCCGGCAGCCCGGGGCGCUCACGGGAGGUGCCCACCCUGCAGGCGCCUGUAUUCCUACGGCCUUGGGAAGGUAAAACUCGGGUCCAAGUCACUUCCCUGCUCCCAUCUGACAGAAGUUUCCAGGCUAUGAGCUGAGAAUUGAGGUAUUUUGAGGCAUCCAGCUCAGAGAAAUUGGGUUCUCAGAAAUAAAUGUGUAUUUGUAAAAUAUUUCCUUACUUCCUUAAGGACAAGGAAUGGCAAAGAACGAAGCUAUGCAGGUGUGAUGUGAAAAACACCCUGUAUUAUCUAGCAGCAAUAUGAAAUCUAAGACUAUCUGGAGCUCUGAUAACACGUUUAUGUACAUUUUAUCUUGAAGUUCAGGUCUGGAUGUAUGGUUCAUUUGUAAAGAAAUCCUAACUAUGUUCAAGGCCAAAGUUCUCAAUGCAUGUCUUGAGAGACUAGACAUAUGGGCCUUACUUUUAUGUUAUUUGUUAUUCUCUUAGUUUCCUUAAGGUAAGGAAUGAUAAAACUAUCAAGCUACCUUGUUCUGUAUGAGUAAUCUGUUUUCUAUAUUCUUUACAUAUUGAUACAGAUAUUUACUGGUUAUUUCCCACUUGGACCUUUGCCAGUGGGAAUUCCUAAUUUAUUUCUUACUUCUGCUCCUUCUUGCCUAAUAUUUCCUGAUUAUUUCCUCUACCACUAUAUCUAAUGCUAAGCUGGCCUUGUAGCAAUGAGUCCUAAUCAUAAUUAUUGAACACAAACCAAUAUUGAUUGAAGUUAAUUCUACUGUUACUUUAUGGAGUCUAAGAUGUCCUGAAUGAUUUAGAUGAUAAAGCUGUUCUGAUCAAUGACCAUUAACAGUUACUAGUAACAAUUAAUGCCUAUGUAUAAAAAUCUAUGUAAGCCACUAGGUAAGUUCCUCCAUGCUGGUAGUAGCUGAUUGCCAACAGUACCAGAUUUGGGGUGCCCACCCUACACUUCAGCUGAGUAUCUCCUAGUAGGUAGCCCUGGCUCCACAUGUGCUGUGGAAAUAGUUUGUGUAUCACCAGUGCUACAAAAGUCACAGCUUGGGAGGCUCUGCUGUAGUAAAUGCAUAUUGUCUGUAUUACAAAUACAGGUGUCAAUGGUUGGAGACUGUAAGUAAAUGCACCUGGUAUCUGUGCAGCAUGCAAUUUUCAACUUGAAAGGAAACAUGCCUGGUGAAGAAUGAUACUGUUUUGUUCUUUGAGUAACAUCUGAUACUGCUGGAAGUAUAUCAGUGUAUUACCAACUGUGCCACACCAGCAUGCACAACAUGAGAAAAUUCCACUCCUGAAGUGCUGUUCAACAGAACCAGGAUUUUAAACUAGUUUCCUGCUUCAGUAUUCCCUGGAGCCAGGAUAAAGAAUUUGAGCAAUUCAAGGACUGUAGAGAAGGAACUUCUGAGUUACAGGAACUCUGCCACAUCCUCAGAGGUACCAGAUUCUGUCGGGAAACAUUGUUCUUCUUCUGAAUGUUCAGUUUUGGGAUUGCUGAGUCAGGCUGGUCUCAACAUUCUUCACUACCAGUGUGACUUGCAUGAGCUGUGAACCUCAUGAAGUUCAGUGAGGCUACGUACAAGGUCCUGCAGGGAAAUCCAACCAAAGGUUAGGCAGGGGGUGGAUCAAGAGCAGCCAGCCCGGGAGGAAGGACUUGGACAAGCACAAUAUGACCUGGUUAUGCGCGCUCCCAGCCCAGAAAUGCAAAUGUAUCCCAGGCUGCAUCCAGAGCAGCGUGGCCAGCAGGUCAAAGGUGAGACUGCACCUGCAGUACUGCAUCCAGGUCUGGGGUCCCCAGAACAAGAAGGAUGUGGAUCUGUUAAAGCGAGUCCAGAGAAGGUGAGCAGAUGGCUGGAGCACCUCUCCUAUGAAGACACACUCAGGGAAUUGGAGCUGUUCAGCCUGGAAAAGAGAAGACUUCAAGGCACCUUGCUGUACCUGGAGGGAACCUACAGGAAAGCUGGAGAGAGAUUUUUUAUGAGAGUGUGUAGCGACAGAACAAGGUGGAAUGGCUUCAAACUGAAAGACAGUAGAUUUAAAUUAGAUAUUUGGAAUAAAUUCUUUACUUCAAGGGUGGUGUGGCACUGGAACACUUUGCCCAGGGAAGUCAUAGAUGUCCAUCCCUGAAAGUGUUCAAGGCCAGACUGGAUGGAGUUUUGAGCAACCUGGGCUAGUGGAAGGUGUCCCUGCCUGUGGAAGUGGGGUUGGAACUGGAUGAUCUUUGAGGUCUCUUCUAACCCAGGCUAUUCUGUGAUGCUGUGAAAUGAAUCAGGUCAAGAACAUGUUUUCAAGCCUAGCUGAAAAGCUUCUGUGUCUGUGUACCUGUGUCACUAAGUGUGCUGGUUUUGGCUGGAAAAGGGUAAUUUUCUUCAUAGUAGCUGGUAUGGGCUAAAUAAUGGAUUUGUGCUGGAAACAGUGUUGCUAAUUCAGGGAUAUUUUUGAUUUUGAUAAGAAGUGCUUACACAAAGUCAAGGCCUUUUCUGUUUCUCACCCCACCCCACCAGCAAAUGGGCCGGAGGUGCACAAGAAAUUAGAAAGGGGACACAACCAGGACAGUCAACCCCAACUGAACAAAGGGAUAUUCUGUACUAUAUGGCAUCAUACUCAGCACAUGAAGUUGGGGAGAGAGAAGGAAGAAGGGGUUUAACAAGUAGAAAAGAAAAAAAUACUUGGCAUAAUUUAAGAAAACUUGGAGAGGUGACACUGGUACACUUUUUAAUUUUUUUAUGCCAAUUUAGUAAUGAGGACAAUGGAGAUGCUUCUUAAGACAUCAUUUAAAAAGAGAUCUGGAAGGGCUUUCCAGUUUAUCCUCUUGCUUCAGAGCAGAAUCCACUCUAUCUAAUCAGGUCUUGAUAGAUAUUUGGUCAAUCUGACCUUGAAAAUUUGCAGUUAUGCUGAUUCUUCAGAUUUCUCCAGUCACUGUGUAACAUUCUUUACAGUUCAAAAACUUUUUGUAAAAUAUAACUGAAAUCUUCAAUAUGCAAUGUAAGGCUUUUACUUCUUACCAUAUCAAUGGACAUGAAAAACACUUUGUAUCUCUCCAAUACUUUCUACACAUUUGAGAACUGAUAUAUCUUUCUUCAAUCCUCUCAUUGCUAGACUAAAGAAAUUAAUUCUUUCAAUCCUAUCUCAUGUCACAUUUCCUAUACCUCUGCAAAUUACAUGGUUCUACUGUGGUUUCUUCAUUGGAGAGAAAUCACAAGAUUUCUUCAUUGUUUGUUGUAGUUUUUUUUACAGAAUGUUGCUUUUAAUAGGUUGUUUUCUGGUAAAACCACAUUACUACUUAUUUAUCACUGCAGGAUUGUGGAAUAAUUUAAUUUGCAGGGGAUCAUAGGAAGUCCCUAGUCCAACCCUCUGCUGAAACCAGGGUCAGCUAUGAGUUCAGAUCAGACUCGAUCCCGUUGGAUUUUGAAAACCUGCAAGAGCAGGGAUUUUACAAGCUCUAUGGACAACCAGUUCCACAGCAUGACUGACAUGUGGUGAAAAUAUUUUCCUGUGAAUUUAGCUUGAACCUUUCACAUUUUAAUUUAUUCCUGUUACUUGUCACUCUCUCACCAUACAGCAAUCUGAGGAGUCUGGCUCCAUUUUCUUGAUAAUUUCCUCUUGGCUAUGUAUAGAUGCUUAGGAAUACUUACUAUUACUGUUGUUGUUGUUGUUAUUGGUAGUAGAGGAGUAGUAGUAGUUAAAAGGCAAAUAACUACCUUUCCUGAAUCCCUGAAUUUUGAACUCUCCCUUUUUUCCAUUGGUGUGCUUGACAAUUCCUCUCUUAUUUAACUUACAUGUUCCUUAUUUAGAGAGCAAAUGAAACAUUUGCUUUCUUAAUAGAGUACUAGUAGAGAAUGGUUACAGGUUCUAGCAGGCUGACAUAAUUUAGAACAUUUAAUUUAUCCAAGUUGUCUUUAUCUGUUGUUUUCCUUUUCUACCUAGAUGUCUUAGUCUGUUCUUUAACUUACAAAGGAAAGCAAGGCAUCCCACACAAGCAUUUGCAGAAGUCAAAGCAAGGAGGUAAAGAAGGAGACAUUAGGAAACAUUUCUUUACCAAGAGGGUGGGCAAAUGCUGGAACAGGGUUCGUAGGAGGUCAGCCCCCAAGUCUGACUAUGUUUAAGGGGCAUUUGGACUAUGCCCUUAACAACACACUUGAACUUUCAGUCAGCCCUGAGUAGAUCAGGCAGUUGGACUACAUGCCAUUGUUGGUCCCUUCCAACUGAAAUAUUCCAUUCUAUUCCAUGUUCUCAUUGUGUCAGCCACCAUAAUAUGCAAGUCAAGUAAUCUGUUUAAAGGCAAGUACUCUGAAUUAAGUUGAAGAUCUCAUUGACUGCUGAACUUUGAUUUGGGACUUGAGAGUCUAUGGCUGUAAAGAUCAACUCUCAAAAAAUCUCAACUAUGCACAUAGUUCCUAGUGCUUUAAUAUAGAUUGUGUAGAUGUGUUGUCUUUAUUAAAAUAUACAUGAUUGGGAGUGGAAUCAUAGAAUGGUUUGGGUUGCAAGGGACCCUAAAGGUCAUCUGGUUCCAACCCUCUUGCCAUGCGUGGGUACACACUAGAUCAGGUUGCUCAAAGCCCCAUCCAGCGUGGUCUCAAACACAAUCAGGGAUGGGGAGUCCAAAACCUCUCUGGGGUAAAUUUUAUGUAGACACAGAGAGGGUCAAUCCAUACAUUUCUGAGAAAUGUAUGAGUACCUUAUAUGGAUGAAAUAAAAUUGGAAUGCCAGAUAUUUUUUAAUUUAUUUAUCCACAGGCUACUGAAAAUUUUGGAAAAUACUGGAAUGGAAUAGCUCCAAGAAGAUUUGGGGUGUUUAGACUUUCUCAAUAAAUCCUUUAUGAUCAAAUUAUACUUAUAUAUAUAAUUAUACUAAAACUUGCUCCUAAUGCUGCACUUAUCAUUCUAAAAGAAAAGAUAGAGAAGUAUAUAAUUUCACUGCUAGAAAGCCAAGACUGGAAAAUACAGGUUUAUCAUAUGGCCAAAAAAAAAAAAAAAAAAAAGUUGAAAAACAAAAGGAAUAGCUGUAAAAUUUGUGCACUGUGCAGCUCGAAGCAAGUUCUAAAGCUUUCUGUGUUUAUUUUUUAUUGGGGAGAAUGUUUCAGGAUAAAGUAAAUACAUUAUAUAAUACAAAAGUACAUCUGCCAGCAUUAAUAGACCAGCAGGAUGACUGAUAGGCAUAGUAAGAAAAACAUGAGAUUAUGGCUUAUGCUUGAAUUAGUGCAACCCCUAUGCAUUACUAUCAAUGCAGUAACUGCAAUCAGCUAGAGAGUAACUGCCCAUUCCCUAAUUCUGCUGGAUCUACUUAGUAGUAAUGACUUGGAUUCCUAUUCCAGACCUUAUUUCGUUUGACAUACUAUAGCUUAUCUGCUAUGAAGACCAUGUCGUGUUUGAAAAUGCCUCUUAGGUGGAUCUCUUAAGCCUCUCAUAUUAACUCAGUUCUUACAUACUUAGUUAAAUGCGGUUUCCAAAUAAAAAAAAAAAAAUUAUUUCAGAGACACACAGGUACUCUCAUGCCUCACAGUCAGCAUGUGAAGUUCCAAGGCAAACGUGGAAGCAAAUGUAUUUAAGAUAUACUGGAUCUCUAUGUGUUUGUGUAAAUUUAUUUGUCUUCCAGACAUUGCAAACUAACAGCUUGUUUACAAAUCAACUGAUUAACACACUUGCACUGAAAUUCUUGCACUGCAAACCUGGUGAUUUUCUGAGCAUACAAGCCUUGAGUUGCAUGGCUUUUGUGAGGGAAAAGCAUCACAGUGCACAUCAGCUACAGAGAAAACCUGUGCAUGCACGCUGUCUGGGUUCAGUAGAUAUUUGGAAGCUUUCUUGGAAUUACUGCACUGCACUGCCUGCAUAACAUCUGGAAGUCAGAGAAAAAUGGUAAAGAAGUAGAAAAGUGGUAGGGAAGAAAAUGACUAGUAAAGCAGCUGUCUCCCAUAAAAAUGGUAGUAUGGCAUUCUGGACUAUAAUAGGAUUUGAGAAAGGCAUCAAUCUGGGACAGAGCACAGCUGAUUUAAGAAGCUUCAGAAAUUGUUUUCCUUCAGAGGACUGUAAAAAAGGCUAGUGAAUCAGUCUGAAAAAAUUACAUUUAGUGAAAUGCGUGACUAAACUAAGUGCAGAUUAUUAACUUGAAAUUUAAAAGUUUGAGUAUCAGCUCUAAGAAGAGAGCCUCUUAUGUGAGCAGAAAUAUCUGACCAAUGAUAUUCCACAUUUCCAAACUUCUGUCAGCUUCUCAGUUUAUAAAAUCCCCAACUUUCUCUUUCCCAACCAUCUGUCAGCACUCCUAGAUUUUCCCUUGAUAACUUCUACAUUGUGGUUGUUCAUCAUACCAAAAUCAGCACAAAAUCCAGUUGCUACACAGUCUUGAACCUUGAAUGUGUUCAUGUUAAAAAAAGUAAACUUAUUGUAAUAUAAAAUAAAUAAAGAAUACUCAUGUGA
Molecule: non-coding RNA, 6455 nt
Organism: Taeniopygia guttata (zebra finch)
Lineage: Eukaryota; Metazoa; Chordata; Aves; Passeriformes; Estrildidae
Source: RefSeq, a predicted model, not a curated record